This 550-nucleotide ribosomal RNA is filed under the name uncultured bacterium. RNAcentral's name for it is "bacterial SSU rRNA". It matches the Rfam family "Bacterial small subunit ribosomal RNA", at positions 355 to 896 of the family's 1533-position model. The record is from RNAcentral.
UGGGGAAUAUUGCACAAUGGGCGCAAGCCUGAUGCAGCCAUGCCGCGUGUAUGAAGAAGGCCUUCGGGUUGUAAAGUACUUUCAGCGAGGAGGAAGGCGAUAAGGUUAAUAACCUUGUCGAUUGACGUUACUCGCAGAAGAAGCACCGGCUAACUCCGUGCCAGCAGCCGCGGUAAUACGGAGGGUGCAAGCGUUAAUCGGAAUUACUGGGCGUAAAGCGAGCGCAGACGGUUUAUUAAGUCUGAUGUGAAAGCCCGGAGCUCAACUCCGGAAUGGCAUUGGAAACUGGUUAACUUGAGUGCAGUAGAGGUAAGUGGAACUCCAUGUGUAGCGGUGGAAUGCGUAGAUAUAUGGAAGAACACCAGUGGCGAAGGCGGCUUACUGGACUGCAACUGACGUUGAGGCUCGAAAGUGUGGGUAGCAAACAGGAUUAGAUACCCUGGUAGUCCACGCUGUAAACGAUGAAUGCUAAGUGUUGGAGGGUUUCCGCCCUUCAGUGCUGCAGCUAACGCAUUAAGCAUUCCGCCUGGGGAGUACGACCGCAAGGUUG